Molecule: small RNA, 427 nt
Filed under: Histoplasma capsulatum
Lineage: Eukaryota; Fungi; Ascomycota; Eurotiomycetes; Onygenales; Ajellomycetaceae
Also listed under: 1 other name
Description: hypothetical RNA
Source: RNAcentral
GCCACGCAAGGCGAUCUUUGACUUCCAUCCAAAGCCAUACGAUGCUGUCUCAACAUUUUCGCGUUCACUGGAUCCAGUUGCUUGAUUGAUACAUUCUGCUACAUUUAGUUAUCAUUGCAAAAUCAUUCCACCAGGACAUCAAGCUCGGCAAUAUUCCUUGUGGAGAAGGAGGAGAGGAGGGGUGAAGAAUGUAUAACUAUAUAUAUAUAUCUUAUGAGGAAUAGGUGGCUACCCUCAGGACUGAUCCUUUUUGGCGUGGUGGUAAAGCCUCCCAUAGAAGACUGCAUUUUUUAAAGAAGGUCCGUUAAUUCCACCCAUGAUUGCCUCGCGGUAACAUGACACAAAAGCACAGCAUAAUAACCAUAAAGCUGUCAAAGAGAGAAAUGGGAAAUUUGAAACCCAUUUCAUGACAGCUCACAGAGACAAG